This 500-nucleotide ribosomal RNA is filed under the name uncultured bacterium. RNAcentral's name for it is "partial 16S ribosomal RNA". It matches the Rfam family "Bacterial small subunit ribosomal RNA", at positions 30 to 523 of the family's 1533-position model. The record is from RNAcentral.
AUUGAACGCUGGCGGCAUGCCUUACACAUGCAAGUCGAACGGCAGCACGGGAGCAAUCCUGGUGGCGAGUGGCGAACGGGUGAGUAAAGUAUCGGAACGUGCCCAGUCGUGGGGGAUAACGUAGCGAAAGUUACGCUAAUACCGCAUACGAUCUAUGGAUGAAAGCGGGGGAUCGCAAGACCUCGCGCGAUUGGAGCGGCCGAUAUCAGAUUAGGUAGUUGGUGGGGUAAAGGCUCACCAAGCCGACGAUCUGUAGCUGGUCUGAGAGGACGACCAGCCACACUGGGACUGAGACACGGCCCAGACUCCUACGGGAGGCAGCAGUGGGGAAGUUUGGACAAAGGGCGAAAGCCUGAUCCAGCCAUGCCGCGUGCAGGAUGAAGGCCUUCGGGUUGUAAACUGCUUUUGUACGGAACGAAAAGGUUUGGCCUAAUAAGCUGAGCUCAUGACGGUACCGUAAGAAUAAGCACCGGCUAACUACGUGCCAGCCGCCGCAGUAA